AUUGAACGCCGGCGGCAGGCCUAACACAUGCAAGUCGAGCGGAGGAAGGGAGCUUGCUCCUGGAUUCAGCGGCGGACGGGUGAGUAAUGCCUAGGAAUCUGCCUGGUAGUGGGGGAUAACGUCCGGAAACGGGCGCUAAUACCGCAUACGUCCUGAGGGAGAAAGUGGGGGAUCUUCGGACCUCACGCUAUCAUAUGAGCCUAGGUCUGAUUAGCUAGUUGGUGGGGUAAAGGCCUACCAAGGCGACGAUCCGUAACUGGUCUGAGAGGAUGAUCAGUCACACUGGAACUGAGACACGGUCCAGACUCCUACGGGAGGCAGCAGUGGGGAAUAUUGGACAAUGGGCGAAAGCCUGAUCCAGCCAUGCCGCGUGUGUGAAGAAGGUCUUCGGAUUGUAAAGCACUUUAAGUUGGGAGGAAGGGCAGUAAGUUAAUACCUAGCUGUUUUGACGUUACCAACAGAAUAAGCACCGGCUAACUACGUG
Molecule: ribosomal RNA, 484 nt
Filed under: uncultured bacterium
Lineage: Bacteria
Description: partial 16S ribosomal RNA
Rfam family: Bacterial small subunit ribosomal RNA
Source: RNAcentral